UCGAGGAUUUUUCACAAUGGGCGCAAGCCUGAUGGAGCGACGCCGCGUGGGGGAUGAAUGGCUUCGGCCCGUAAACCCCUGUCAUUUGCGAUCAAACCUUGCUAUUUAAAAGAUGGCGAGCUGAUAGUAGCGAAAGAGGAAGGGACGGCUAACUCUGUGCCAGCAGCCGCGGUAAUACAGAGGUCCCAAGCGUUGUUCGGAUUCACUGGGCGUAAAGGGUGCGGAGGUGGUGGGGUAAGUCGGAUGUGAAAUCUCGGAGCUCAACUCCGAAAUGGCAUUGGAAACUACCCUGCUAGAGGGUCGGAGGGGGGACUGCAAUUCUCGGUGUAGCAGUGAAAUGCGUAGAUAUCGAGAGGAACACCAGUGGCGAAGGCGAGUCCCUGGACGACUCCUGACACUGAGGCACGAAAGCUAGGGGAGCAA
RNAcentral lists this ribosomal RNA (423 nucleotides) under uncultured bacterium. RNAcentral's name for it is "bacterial SSU rRNA". It matches the Rfam family "Bacterial small subunit ribosomal RNA", at positions 355 to 771 of the family's 1533-position model. The record is from RNAcentral.